This 72-nucleotide transfer RNA is filed under the name Candidatus Yanofskybacteria bacterium RIFCSPHIGHO2_02_FULL_44_36b. Its description in RNAcentral is "tRNA-Glu". It matches the Rfam family "tRNA". From Rfam's summary of the family: Transfer RNA (tRNA) molecules are approximately 80 nucleotides in length. Lineage: Bacteria; Candidatus Yanofskyibacteriota. RNAcentral also lists the same sequence under 2 other names. The record is from RNAcentral.
GGCCUCAUCGUCUAGCGGUUAGGACACGUGAUUCUCAUUCACGUAACAGGGGUUCGACUCCCCUUGAGGCUG